RNAcentral lists this ribosomal RNA (253 nucleotides) under uncultured bacterium. RNAcentral describes it as "partial 16S ribosomal RNA". It matches the Rfam family "Bacterial small subunit ribosomal RNA", at positions 524 to 776 of the family's 1533-position model. The record is from RNAcentral.
UACGGGGGGAGCAAGCGUUGUUCGGAUUUACUGGGCGUAAAGGGCGCGUAGGCGGCCACUCAAGUCGAAUGUGAAACCUCGAGGCUUAACCUCGAGCCUGCAUUCGAUACUGGGCGGCUAGAGUCUGGUAGGGGGAUCUGGAAUUCCUGGUGUAGCGGUGGAAUGCGCAGAUAUCAGGAGGAACACCGGUGGCGAAGGCGGGAUCCUGGGCCAGUACUGACGCUGAGGAGCGAAAGCGUGGGGAGCAAACAGG